GACGUAGGGGGCCAGCGUUGUUCGGAAUUACUGGGUGUAAAGGGUUCGUAGGCGGUUUUGUAAGUCAGAUGUGAAACCCCCAGGCUCAACCUGGGACCGCCAUCCGAUACUGUCAUGGCUAGAGUCCGGUAGGGGCCCACGGAACUCCUGGUGUAGCGGUGAAAUGCGCAGAUAUCAGGAAGAACACCGGUGGCGAAGGCGGUGGGCUGGGCCGGUACUGACGCUGAGGAGCGAAAGCGUGGGGAGCGAACAGG
This 254-nucleotide ribosomal RNA is filed under the name uncultured bacterium. RNAcentral describes it as "partial 16S ribosomal RNA". It matches the Rfam family "Bacterial small subunit ribosomal RNA", at positions 524 to 776 of the family's 1533-position model. The record is from RNAcentral.